GAUGAACGCUGGCGGCGUGCUUAACACAUGCAAGUCGAACGGAAAGGCCAGUUCUUGCCCUGGUACUCGAGUGGCGAACGGGUGAGUAACACGUGGGUGAUCUGCCCUGUACUUCGGGAUAAGCUUGGGAAACUGGGUCUAAUACCGGAUAGGACAACUUUUUGGAUAUUGUUGUGGAAAGCUUUUGCGGUAUGGGAUGAGCUCGCGGCCUAUCAGCUUGUUGGUGGGGUAAUGGCCUACCAAGGCGUCGACGGGUAGCCGGCCUGAGAGGGUGUACGGCCACAUUGGGACUGAGAUACGGCCCAGACUCCUACGGGAGGCAGCAGUGGGGAAUAUUGCACAAUGGGCGCAAGCCUGAUGCAGCGACGCCGCGUGGGGGAUGAAGGCCUUCGGGUUGUAAACUCCUUUCGCUAGGGACGAAGCGUAAGUGACGGUACCUGGAGAAGAAGCACCGGCUAACUACGUG
This 466-nucleotide ribosomal RNA is filed under the name uncultured bacterium. RNAcentral's name for it is "partial 16S ribosomal RNA". It matches the Rfam family "Bacterial small subunit ribosomal RNA", at positions 28 to 507 of the family's 1533-position model. The record is from RNAcentral.